Molecule: long non-coding RNA, 466 nt
Organism: Etheostoma cragini (Arkansas darter)
Lineage: Eukaryota; Metazoa; Chordata; Actinopteri; Perciformes; Percidae
Exons: 3
Source: RefSeq, a predicted model, not a curated record
CAGACCUGUAAACCUUGUCGUCGUCGUCGUCGACGACGGUGUCACCGUGCCGCGCCAAGAGUAUUUGUGACGGCGAAGGCCGGCGCCGGAGUGAGGGGCAGCUGCCAACGCUGGAACCUGUGUGACAGUUGUAAAUGACUGGCCCAAUCGUCUCCUUGUAGUAAUUAUCUAAAUGGGCUCAUUCAAAACCUCUUCAUUGUGGAAUCAGUUAAUUAAUUAGCUGUUUCACUGACAGGAUAAUGCAUCUAUAACAGCCACCCAUAUACUCACUGGAAAUCCCCCCCGCAAGAUACAAAGCUGCUGAUAAGGCAACACAAUGCUGAUGUUGAGUCGAGGAGAAAGUAAUAUCAGGCAGAACAGGUGUCCUGAAGCUCCGCUUACCGAACCAAUCAGCAUGCGUUACGCAUACGGGCGUGGUUUAUGGGCAAACUCCGUUCAAAACAACAAUGGCGGAUGUGACAGACAG